GAUGAACGCUGGCGGCGUGCCUAAUACAUGCGAGUCGAGCGAACAGACGAGGAGCUUGCUCCUCUGACGUUAGCGGCGGACGGGUGAGUAACACGUGGAUAACCUACCUAUAAGACUGGGAUAACUUCGGGAAACCGGAGCUAAUACCGGAUAAUAUAUUGAACCGCAUGUUUCAAUAGUAAAAAACGGUUUUGCUUUCACUUUUAGAUGGAUCCGCGCCGCAUUAGCUAGUUGGUAAGGUAACGGCUUACCAAGGCAACGAUGCGUAGCCGACCUGAGAGGGUGAUCGGCCACACUGGAACUGAGACACGGUCCAGACUCCUACGGGAGGCAGCAGUAGGGAAUCUUCCGCAAUGGGCGAAAGCCUGACGGAGCAACGCCGCGUGAGUGAUGAAGGUCUUCGGAUCGUAAAACUCUGUUAUUAGGGAAGAACAAAUGUGUAAGUAACUAUGCACGUCUUGACGGUACCUAAUCAGAAAGCCACGGCUAACUACGUG
RNAcentral lists this ribosomal RNA (497 nucleotides) under uncultured bacterium. RNAcentral describes it as "partial 16S ribosomal RNA". It matches the Rfam family "Bacterial small subunit ribosomal RNA", at positions 28 to 507 of the family's 1533-position model. The record is from RNAcentral.